Molecule: long non-coding RNA, 699 nt
Organism: Dermochelys coriacea (leatherback sea turtle)
Lineage: Eukaryota; Metazoa; Chordata; Testudines; Dermochelyidae
Exons: 4
Source: RefSeq, a predicted model, not a curated record
GCCCAAGCGGCCCCACCCCACCUGCAAAGUCUGUACAGGCCAGAGGAGGAGCAGAGUAGCUCAGCAGCAGGCAGAUGGUGGAGGUUUGGCUAGAGACCUAAAUGAACUCCCAAGAGCAAGGAAAACUCAGGAAGGGACUGUACCUGAUGGCAGAAAGGUUUUAUGUGACUAGUUGGGUAAUUCCAGAUUUGUUUUACUUUACAAGAACAAAGGCACAGAAGAAGCAGCCAGCUCUAUUGGUUAUCGCCUAUUUCCUGAUAUGCUGUGCUUCAACUGGACUUCCAUACACUUCAACAAGUCAUGCAGAGGACUAGAGCAUGGGAUGAAAUUCAUCCCUCAUGUUAUAAAAUUGAAAUGAUAGCAAAUUUGUCCCAUGGUCAAACUGCAGGCCAUGUAAAGUGCUCCUUCUGCUCAACACAGUUAGUCAGAGUACAUUCCUGAUAAACCCUGGUAAAAAUGGGCAUUUUGCCUUCUAAAAGCAGCUCCUAAAUUCCCUAGAUCCUUCUGCAGGCUUGAUCCCUCACAUACCUUUCAUUGGAGGAAUCAUUCAUGUUCAUGUUACUAGCUAUUAAUAAAAAUAUUUUUGUAGUCCUAUUAUUUUACAUUGUUUUUCCAUCCAAGAAAAAAAAAGGUGGAAAAAAAUGAUUCCUUUUUUAUAGAGACCCCCACACAUUGUAUUUCUCUGCAUUUAUGUCUGAC